Molecule: ribosomal RNA, 351 nt
Filed under: uncultured bacterium
Lineage: Bacteria
Description: bacterial SSU rRNA
Rfam family: Bacterial small subunit ribosomal RNA
Source: RNAcentral
GGGCCCGCACAAGCGGUGGAGUAUGUGGUUUAAUUCGAUGCAACGCGAAGAACCUUACCAGGGUUUGACAUCCUGCGAAUCUCUUGGAAACGAGAGAGUGCCUUCGGGAACGCAGUGACAGGUGGUGCAUGGCUGUCGUCAGCUCGUGUCGUGAGAUGUUGGGUUAAGUCCCGCAACGAGCGCAACCCACGUCGUUAGUUGCCAGCAUUUAGUUGGGCACUCUAUGGAAACUGCCCGUGAUAAGCGGGAGGAAGGUGUGGAUGACGUCAAGUCCUCAUGGCCCUUACGGGUUGGGCUACACACGUGCUACAAUGGUAGUGACAAUGGGUUAAUCCCAAAAAUGCUAUCUCA